AGGAAAAGAAACCAACAGGGAUUGCCUUAGUAACGGCGAGUGAAGCGGCAAAAGCUCAAAUUUGAAAGCUAGCACCUUCGGUGUUCGCGUUGUAAUUUGAAGAUAGUUUCCUUGAGUAGUCCUUUAUCUAUGUUCCUUGGAACAGGACGUCAUAGAGGGUGAGAACCCCGUAUGAUUUUGGAUACUACUCUUUGUGGGAUUCUAUCGAAGAGUCGAGUUGUUUGGGAAUGCAGCUCUAAGUGGGUGGUAAAUUCCAUCUAAAGCUAAAUAUUGGCGAGAGACCGAUAGCGAACAAGUACAGUGAUGGAAAGAUGAAAAGAACUCUGAAGAGAGAGUGAAAAAGUACGUGAAAUUGCUGAAAGGGAAGGGCUUGAGGUCAGACUUGGUGUUUAAUGAUUAUCAGUUCUUCUUGGACUGUGCACUCGUUUUUCACCGGGCCAAUAUCAGUUUUAGCGGUAGAGUACCCCUUGAAAUGUGGCUUCCUUCGGGGAGUGUUAUAGUCUUGGGGAGAUCUACUUGCUGGGACUGAGGACUGCGCUUCGGCAAGGAUAUUGUCGUAAUGACCUUAAGCCG
RNAcentral lists this ribosomal RNA (573 nucleotides) under Saccharomycopsis fibuligera. RNAcentral describes it as "eukaryotic LSU rRNA". It matches the Rfam family "Eukaryotic large subunit ribosomal RNA", at positions 54 to 647 of the family's 3401-position model. Lineage: Eukaryota; Fungi; Ascomycota; Saccharomycetes; Ascoideales; Saccharomycopsidaceae. The record is from RNAcentral.